AGCGGGAACAGCAUAAAUUUGAAAUNUNCGCGGCCCCGCGGCGAAUUGUAGUUCAAGAGGCGUUUCGGNGGCGGCCUUGGCANAAGUCCCUUGGAACAGGGUGNCAUAGAGGGUGAGAACCCCGUGAAGCCUUGGCUUGCCGCUAUGUGAUCGCAUUUCAAAGAGUCGGGUUGUUUGGGAUUGCAGCCCUAAUGGGAGGUAAAUUUCUUCUAAAGCUAAAUACUGGCGAGAGACCGAUAGCGAACAAGUACCGUGAGGGAAAGAUGAAAAGAACUUUGAAAAGAGAGUUAAACAGUCGUGAAAUUGUCAAAAGGGAAUGGCUUGAAACCAGUCAUGCUGUCUGGAAUUCAGCAGGCCACACCGGCCUGUCCACUUUCCAGAUGGCAGGUCAACGUCAGUUUUCUUCGUGUCGAAAGGCCUUGGGAAGGNAGCGAGCCUUCGGGCGCGUGUUAUAGCCCCUGGCUCUGGCAUGUGGGGAGACUGAGGACCGCAGGGCGCACUGGGUUAACCGGUCAGGCGAAUACCUUUUGGCGGACUGCACGCAGGCCGUCAGAAGGCAUAAACCUUUGCCGGCUACACCUCUCCGUCCCUUAGGACGUUGACGAAAUGGUUUUAAACCACCCGUCUUGAAACACGGACCAAGGAGUCUAACAUAUACGCGAGUAUUUGGGUGGCAAACCCAUAUGCGAAAUGAAAGUGAUUCAGGUGGGAUCCUCGGUGCACCAUCGACCGGUCUGAUAUUUUAAUGAUAGAUCUGAGUAAGAUGCGUAUCUGUUGGGACCCGAAAGAUGGUGAACUAUGCCUAAUAGGGCGAAGCCANNUGAAA
RNAcentral lists this ribosomal RNA (826 nucleotides) under Monoblepharis sp. M53B. Its description in RNAcentral is "eukaryotic LSU rRNA". It matches the Rfam family "Eukaryotic large subunit ribosomal RNA", at positions 97 to 861 of the family's 3401-position model. The record is from RNAcentral. Lineage: Eukaryota; Fungi; Monoblepharomycota; Monoblepharidomycetes; Monoblepharidales; Monoblepharidaceae.